RNAcentral lists this ribosomal RNA (376 nucleotides) under uncultured bacterium. Its description in RNAcentral is "bacterial SSU rRNA". It matches the Rfam family "Bacterial small subunit ribosomal RNA", at positions 28 to 406 of the family's 1533-position model. The record is from RNAcentral.
GAUGAACGCUAGCGGCAGGCUUAACACAUGCAAGUCGAGGGGUAGAAGGAGCUUGCUCCUUUGAGACCGGCGCACGGGUGCGUAACGCGUAUGCAAUCUACCUUUUGCAGAGGGAUAGCCCAGAGAAAUUUGGAUUAAUACCUCAUAGUAUGUGAGGAUGGCAUCAUUUUCACAUUAAAGUCACAACGGCAAAAGAUGAGCAUGCGUCCCAUUAGCUAGUUGGUAAGGUAACGGCUUACCAAGGCUACGAUGGGUAGGGUCCUGAGAGGGAGAUCCCCCACACUGGUACUGAGACACGGACCAGACUCCUACGGGAGGCAGCAGUGGGGAAUAUUGGACAAUGGGCGCAAGCCUGAUCCAGCCAUGCCGCGUGUGU